RNAcentral lists this ribosomal RNA (336 nucleotides) under uncultured Bacillota bacterium. RNAcentral's name for it is "bacterial SSU rRNA". It matches the Rfam family "Bacterial small subunit ribosomal RNA", at positions 28 to 351 of the family's 1533-position model. The record is from RNAcentral. Lineage: Bacteria; Bacillati; Bacillota.
GACGAACGCUGGCGGCAUGCCUAAUACAUGCAAGUCGAGCGAACAGAUGAGGAGCUUGCUUCUCUGAUGUUAGCGGCGGAUGGGUGAGUAACACGUGGGCAACCUGCCCUACAGAUGGGGAUAACUCCGGGAAACCGGGGCUAAUACCGAAUAAACAGUUUGUUCGCAUGAACAAACUCUGAAAGACGGUUUCGGCUGUCACUGUAGGAUGGGCCCGCGGCGCAUUUAGCUAGUUGGUGGGAUAAUGGCCUACCAAGGCAACGAUGCGUAGCCGACCUGAGAGGGUGAUCGGCCACACUGGGACUGAGACACGGCCCAGACUCCUACGGGUGGCAG